UACGUAGGAGGCAAGCGUUGUCCGGAAUUACUGGGCGUAAAGGGUGCGUAGGCGGGUCUUUAAGUCAGGGGUGAAAUCCUGGAGCUCAACUCCAGAACUGCCUUUGAUACUGAGGAUCUUGAGUUCGGGAGAGGUGAGUGGAACUGCGAGUGUAGAGGUGAAAUUCGUAGAUAUUCGCAAGAACACCAGUGGCGAAGGCGGCUCACUGGCCCGAUACUGACGCUGAGGUGCGAAAGCGUGGGGAGCAAACAGG
RNAcentral lists this ribosomal RNA (253 nucleotides) under uncultured bacterium. Its description in RNAcentral is "partial 16S ribosomal RNA". It matches the Rfam family "Bacterial small subunit ribosomal RNA", at positions 524 to 776 of the family's 1533-position model. The record is from RNAcentral.